RNAcentral lists this ribosomal RNA (256 nucleotides) under uncultured bacterium. RNAcentral describes it as "partial 16S ribosomal RNA". It matches the Rfam family "Bacterial small subunit ribosomal RNA", at positions 524 to 776 of the family's 1533-position model. The record is from RNAcentral.
GACGUAGGUGGCGAACGUUAUCCGGAAUCAUUGGGCGUAAAGGGUGCGUAGAUGGCAUGAUAAGUUAUUAGUGGGAAAUCGAGGCUCAACCUCGUGGAAGCUAGUAAUACUGUUUUGCUUGAGUACGGAAGAGGUUAACGGAACUCCAUGUGGAGCGGUAAAAUGCGUAGAUAUAUGGAAGAACACCAAUAACGGCGAAGGCAGUUAACUAUUCUGUUACUGACAUUGAGGCACGAAAGCGUGGGGAGCAAAACGG